RNAcentral lists this ribosomal RNA (421 nucleotides) under uncultured beta proteobacterium. RNAcentral describes it as "bacterial SSU rRNA". It matches the Rfam family "Bacterial small subunit ribosomal RNA", at positions 111 to 529 of the family's 1533-position model. The record is from RNAcentral. Lineage: Bacteria; Pseudomonadati; Pseudomonadota; Betaproteobacteria.
UAAUACAUCGGAACGUACCUUAUCGUGGGGGAUAACGCAGCGAAAGCUGUGCUAAUACCGCAUACGCCCUGAGGGGGAAAGCGGGGGAUCGAAAGACCUCGCGCGAUUAGAGCGGCCGAUGCCUGAUUAGCUUGUUGGUGGGGUAAAAGCCCACCAAGGCGACGAUCAGUAGCUGGCCUGAGAGGACGAUCAGCCACACUGGGACUGAGACACGGCCCAGACUCCUACGGGAGGCAGCAGUGGGGAAUUUUGGACAAUGGGGGAAACCCUGAUCCAGCAAUGCCGCGUGAGUGAAGAAGGCCUUCGGGUUGUAAAGUUCUUUUGUCAGGGAAGAAACACCGGCUCUAACACAGUCCGGGAAUGACGGUACCUGAAGAAUAAGCACCGGCUAACUACGUGCCAGCAGCCGCGGUAAUACGUA